GAUGAACGCUAGCGGCAGGCCUAACACAUGCAAGUCGAGGGAGAAGCCCUUUCGGGGGCAGAAACCGGCGCACGGGUGCGUAACGCGUAUGCAACCUACCUUUCACAGGGGGAUAGCCCGAAGAAAUUUGGAUUAAUACCCCAUAAUAUUAUUGGAUGGCAUCAUUUGAUAAUUAAAACUGCGGUGGUGAAAGAUGGGCAUGCGUCCUAUUAGCUAGUUGGAGUGGUAACGGCACCCCAAGGCUACGAUAGGUAGGGGUCCUGAGAGGGAGAUCCCCCAUACUGGUACUGAGACAGGGACCAGACUCCUACGGGAGGCAGCAGUGAGGAAUAUUGGUCAAUGGUCGGAAGACUGAACCAGCCAUGCCGCGUGCAGGAAGAAUGCCUUAUGGGUUGUAAACUGCUUUUAUAUGGGAAGAAUAAGGCGUACGUGUACGUUGAUGACGGUACCAUAUGAAUAAGCAUCGGCUAACUCCGUG
This 478-nucleotide ribosomal RNA is filed under the name uncultured bacterium. RNAcentral's name for it is "partial 16S ribosomal RNA". It matches the Rfam family "Bacterial small subunit ribosomal RNA", at positions 28 to 507 of the family's 1533-position model. The record is from RNAcentral.